This is a long non-coding RNA of Anopheles stephensi (Asian malaria mosquito), 1016 nucleotides long. RefSeq lists it as uncharacterized. The record is from RefSeq and is a predicted model, not a curated record. The transcript has 4 exons. Lineage: Eukaryota; Metazoa; Arthropoda; Insecta; Diptera; Culicidae.
AUGUGUUUUCGGAAGUUCCUCUAUUCUUGUAUUUGCUCUUUUCUCUCUUGAUUUUGCUUUGCUUCUCUACAUGUCCGUAGACUCUUCGCCUUGAGUGGUGGUGGUAUGUUUGUGUGUAACAACGGUACUUUCGCUGCAAGGUUGGAGGGGCGGGCGUCGAGUGUGUUGUUUAUCAGCUGUGAUCUGUGCGUGUGAAACUUUUUCAUUGUGCUGAAACGGGUGAGUGAGAGUAAGAUUAGAAACAGAAUGCCGUGUGCAUGUAUACCUCAGCCUGAAGACUGAACCACCAGACUUGCUCAGAGCAGGAAUGAAGUACACGUAAUAUAAAUUGGAGCGUGAUUCAAAAAUCUGUUUGCUCUACAAAGUCGAUGAGUGCAUCUAAUCAGUUCUGCAGCGCCAUGGUGAACAUUGGGAGGUGUUGGCACGGAAGACGGAGCGGGAAAGGGUUCACGACAACUAUGCAGUGAGGAGGAUAUCAACUGAUUGUGCAUUUACAGUUAGCGGGUGAGCCCACGCUGUACCUCGUAGGAGAACCUGGCCAUGGGUAUCGGAGAAUGCAUAUCGUAUGCCGGGAUCGUGCGCGGCCUUGAACACUGACUCUGCUCGAUCACGGGUUCACAAUCGGUCAUUACGUUACCGGCGGCUUGCCAGCAACCAAUAUUGGAUGGUAUUCUUCCGAUCGGUGCUCCCUCCCUUCCUACAGCCUUCCAUUAACAUCUCCCGACAACAAGUUGGAGUUGCUUCUAGCACGGAUUAUGAUGGUGCUGUUGCUGAAGAGGAAUGUUUUGUUGCCUGGUUGCACUGGACAAGAUGGUUCACGCAGUGUAGUCGAUCUCCUGUUGGUGUCGAUUGUAUACCGUUUCAGAGGUAUGAAGAGGAGUGAGGAGCUUCCUUACUUCAAAAUUCUUUAUAUAAGGUGAAAAAGUGUACAAGGGCCAACCAUUUGGUGUUUGUACUCGAUGAUCCCUUCGAGCCGGAGGCCCAUCCCGGCCGCUCAGUGCGAUAGUGUUAGGUGC